AGUGAACGCUGGCGGUAGGCCUAACACAUGCAAGUCGAACGGCAGCACAGUAAGAGCUUGCUCUUACGGGUGGCGAGUGGCGGACGGGUGAGGAAUACAUCGGAAUCUACUUUUUCGUGGGGGACAACGUAGGGAAACUUACGCUAAUACCGCAUACGAUCUACGGGUGAAAGUAGGUGAUCUUCGGACCUUGCGCGUUUGAAUGAGCCGAUGUCGGAUUAGCUAGUUGGCGGGGUAAAGGCCCACCAAGGCGACGAUCCGUAGCUGGUCUGAGAGGAUGAUCAGCCACACUGGAACUGAGACACGGUCCAGACUCCUACGGGAGGCAGCAGUGGGGAAUAUUGGAUAAUGGGCGCAAGCCUGAUCCAGCCAUACCGCGUGGGUGAAGAAGGCCUUCGGGUUGUAAAGCCCUUUUGUUGGGAAAGAAAAGCAGCAGGUUAAUACCCCGCUGUUCUGACGGUACCCAAAGAAUAAGCACCAGCUAACUUCGUG
RNAcentral lists this ribosomal RNA (492 nucleotides) under uncultured bacterium. Its description in RNAcentral is "partial 16S ribosomal RNA". It matches the Rfam family "Bacterial small subunit ribosomal RNA", at positions 29 to 507 of the family's 1533-position model. The record is from RNAcentral.